Molecule: unclassified non-coding RNA, 190 nt
Filed under: uncultured fungus
Lineage: Eukaryota; Fungi
Description: sequence contains ITS1
Source: RNAcentral
UUGAUUGUUUAAUCAUUUAUACUCGAACCGUUAGGAAAGAGUUUUGUAUACUUUUGAAGAACACGCCCGCUUCGACGCUUCCCAUUUAAGGUUUGUUCACAAUAGCAACAGUCAUUUAGACAAAGGGUGGGAGGUAGAUCUUGCGAUCCGACACUCGGUAAUGAUCCUUCCGCAGGUUCACCUACGGAAA